This 529-nucleotide long non-coding RNA is filed under the name Androctonus crassicauda. Lineage: Eukaryota; Metazoa; Arthropoda; Arachnida; Scorpiones; Buthidae. The record is from RNAcentral.
GUUAAUUCAUUCCUGGGGCAUUAUUCUUGAGUUAUUCAUGUUGUACAUGAACUCAUAUCCAUUAACUCCCUUAUAUGUUUUUAACUCGCACGAUUGGUAUUCUGGAAUUCAAACUGUUACACAAACAAUUUGCGAGAGAGAGAUACAUCAUUCAUAUUUAACAUGGUAGAUCAAGAAGCAUCUGGAUUAGAAAUUAUUUAGUACAGUAUUGUCCAAUGAAAUCUCAAGUAACAAAUAGUAAACAAAUCCACAUUGAUCUGAAGUCUAUGCCUUGAAUAAACACUAUGGAAGGAACUAAAAAAGGUUACAGAAGAACAAAAAAUAUAUUAGUUUAUUUUAUAGAAAAUAAUGCAAAAUUACAUACAAGAAAGAUAAUUAAUGAUUUUACUAAGAAGAUGCAAGCAGAAUUAUGGGAUGAAACAACUUCAAAAUUAAAUUCUUGUGUUGGAUUUAAAAAAUUGGUGACACAAUGGAAAAAAGUAAUUCAGUAACGGUAAUUUAAUUAUUCAUGCAAAUCAUUAUUUCAUAG